This 489-nucleotide ribosomal RNA is filed under the name uncultured bacterium. RNAcentral describes it as "partial 16S ribosomal RNA". It matches the Rfam family "Bacterial small subunit ribosomal RNA", at positions 30 to 507 of the family's 1533-position model. The record is from RNAcentral.
AUUGAACGCUGGCGGCAUGUCUUACACAUGCAAGUCGAACGGCAGCAUGAUCUAGCUUGCUAGAUUGAUGGCGAGUGGCGCACGUGUGAGUCAUACAUCGGAACGUGCCCUGUAGUGGGGGAUAACUAGUCGAAAGAUUAGCUAAUACCGCAUACGACCUGAGGGUGAAAGUGGGGACCGCAAGGCCUCAUGCUCUAGGAGCUGCCGAUGUCUGAUUAGCUAGUUGGUGAGGUAAAGGCUCACCAAGGCGACGAUCAGUAGCUGGUCUGAGAGGACGAUCAGCCACACUGGGACUGAGACACGGCCCAAACUCCUACGGGAGGCAGCAGUGGGGAAUUUUGGACAAUGGGCGAAAGCCUGAUCCAGCAAUGCCGCGUGUGUGAAGAAGGCCUUCGGGUUGUAAAGCACUUUUGUCCGGAAAGAAAUGGCGCUGGUUAAUACCUGGGGUCGAUGACGGUACCGGAAGAAUAAGGACCGGCUAACUACGUG